UAGGGAAUCUUCGGCAAUGGGGGGAACCCUGACCGAGCAACGCCGCGUGAGUGAAGAAGGUUUUCGGAUCGUAAAGCUGUUGUUAAGGAAGAACGAGUGUGAGAAUGGAAAGUUCAUGCUGUGACGGUACUUAACCAGAAAGGGACGGCUAACUACGUGCCAGCAGCCGCGGUAAUACGUAGGUCCCGAGCGUUGUCCGGAUUUAUUGGGCGUAAAGCGAGCGCAGGCGGUUAGAAAAGUCUGAAGUGAAAGGCAGUGGCUCAACCAUUGUAGGCUUUGGAAACUGUUUAACUUGAGUGCAGAAGGGGAGAGUGGAAUUCCAUGUGUAGCGGUGAAAUGCGUAGAUAUAUGGAGGAACACCGGUGGCGAAAGCGGCUCUCUGGUCUGUAACUGACGCUGAGGCUCGAAAGCGUGGGGAGCGAACAGG
This 427-nucleotide ribosomal RNA is filed under the name Bacteroidota bacterium. RNAcentral describes it as "Bacteroidetes bacterium partial 16S ribosomal RNA". It matches the Rfam family "Bacterial small subunit ribosomal RNA", at positions 355 to 776 of the family's 1533-position model. The record is from RNAcentral. Lineage: Bacteria; Pseudomonadati; Bacteroidota.